RNAcentral lists this ribosomal RNA (544 nucleotides) under uncultured bacterium. Its description in RNAcentral is "bacterial SSU rRNA". It matches the Rfam family "Bacterial small subunit ribosomal RNA", at positions 358 to 916 of the family's 1533-position model. The record is from RNAcentral.
GGAAUUUUCCGCAAUGGGCGAAAGCCUGACGGAGCAACGCCGCGUGAGGGAUGAAGGCCUCUGGGCUGUAAACCUCUUUUAUCAAGGAAGAAGAUCUGACGGUACUUGAUGAAUAAGCCACGGCUAAUUCCGUGCCAGCAGCCGCGGUAAUACGGGAGUGGCAAGCGUUAUCCGGAAUUAUUGGGCGUAAAGCGUCCGCAGGCGGUCUUGUAAGUCUGUCGUUAAAGCGUGGAGCUUAACUCCAUUUGAGCGAUGGAAACUGCAAGACUAGAGUGUGGUAGGGGCAGAGGGAAUUCCCGGUGUAGCGGUGAAAUGCGUAGAUAUCGGGAAGAACACCAGUGGCGAAGGCGCUCUGCUGGGCCAUAACUGACGCUCAUGGACGAAAGCCAGGGGAGCGAAAGGGAUUAGAUACCCCUGUAGUCCUGGCCGUAAACGAUGAACACUAGGUGUCGGGGGAAUCGACCCCCUCGGUGUCGUAGCCAACGCGUUAAGUGUUCCGCCUGGGGAGUACGCACGCAAGUGUGAAACUCAAAUGAAUUGACGG